AUUUAUUUGUUAGUUCUAGAUUUUUUUCUUCAGAUUUUGUACAUAGGAGACAAAAUAGGGAGCGACAAAGAAAUGACCUCUGACACGUUGGCCAAGAAAGGAGCGGCCGACCAAACCCUUAAAUAUGUCAGCUUGGUAACAUUGACGGGACAGAAUGCAGUGCUCGGACUGAGUAUGCGGUAUGCUAGAACAAGACCUGGAGACAUGUUCAUCUCUACUACAGCAGUUGCAAUGUCGGAGCUAGUGAAGUUGUUUGCUUGCCUACUGCUAGUGUGGAAUGAUGAAGGGAAAAGUUUAAAGAACUGGUGGGGAGCUCUGGAUAGCACUAUUAUCAAGCAACCCAUUGAUACACUCAAGGUUUGUGUUCCUUCCUUCAUCUACUUAAUUCAAAACAAUCUUCUUUAUGUUGCUGCAUCUAACCUAGAUGUCGCCACCUAUCAGAUCACUUAUCAGCUGAAGAUUCUGACGACAGCUGUAUUUGCGGUCACCAUGCUCAACAAGAAGCUUAUCUCAACACAGUGGAUUUCUUUACUAAUCCUUAUUGGUGGAGUUGCCUUGGUUCAAUUAUCAGAUGUUAAAGAACAGGCAUCUCAAGGUCCUGAGCAAAGCAAGAUGGUUGGGUUUACUGCUGCUCUAACUGCUUGUAUACUCUCUGGAUUUGCUGGAGUUUACUUUGAAAAAAUACUUAAAGGUUCCGAUAUAUCCGUCUGGAUGAGGAACGUACAGCUUGCUCUUCUCUCCGUCCCGCUAGGAUUAAUUACAACCUAUCUCAAGGAUGGAUCAGUCAUCUCUGAAAAGGGAUUCUUCACUGGUUACGACAACUUUGUGUGGUUUACUGUGAUGCAGAACGCCCUAGGGGGUCUCCUCGUUGCCGUCGUCGUUAAAUACGCAGACAAUAUUCUCAAGGGAUUUGCAUGCUCCUUGGCUAUCAUCAUCACCUGUAUUGCCUCUAUCUUCAUCUUCGACUUCAACGUGACUGUCCAGUUCGCCCUCGGGGCGGGGCUCGUUAUAUCCUCGAUAUUUAUGUACGGAUACACACCAAAACCAUCUUCAUCAUUGCCGCAGAAAAUGUAAACAAAUCGCCAAUCGAUCAAUCAUAAGAAUCAUUUCUCCUCAAGUUUUCAGUAUUUUUAGUAUCUACUUUUUACAAUUUUAACCAGACUUGAUAGUUUUUUUUGUGAUUUGAAAAUAUUUAUCUGUGUUGUUCGUUCGUUUUUCUGAUUUUUUGAUUACUAAUUAGUGUGAUUUUUUAUAUUAUUGUUGACCGUUUAGGUCACUUGCAUUUAAUAAUAAAAACAUAACAAAUUAU
RNAcentral lists this unclassified non-coding RNA (1309 nucleotides) under Eurytemora carolleeae. Its description in RNAcentral is "uDP-N-acetylglucosamine transporter". The record is from RNAcentral. Lineage: Eukaryota; Metazoa; Arthropoda; Copepoda; Calanoida; Temoridae.